GGUCAUAACAUUCGUAGUGCAUUCAGAGCAUACGCGGCGUAUUUGAAGAAGAGGUUGAGGGUCGUGGAUCGACUGCAGGAGGAUCCCACAUACACCAAAUUCCGGUCUAACAUCACCAAGAGCACAUCACAACAUUUAGAACUAUGCCACUAUCUGGGGCAAUUGGCCUGCGGAAUUUUCAAAGUCAAGGUAACUCGAUUUACUAAUCAGUUACACCAAUAUUCCUUUUCCUCGCGACUAUUAUGGAGAAUUUUCGACCUUCUUCUUGUCGACGCCACUGGCGUGUACAACUCAUAUGGGCAUACGCUCGACAU
Long non-coding RNA from Octopus sinensis (East Asian common octopus), 314 nucleotides. RefSeq lists it as uncharacterized. The transcript is spliced from 3 exons. The record is from RefSeq and is a predicted model, not a curated record. Lineage: Eukaryota; Metazoa; Mollusca; Cephalopoda; Octopoda; Octopodidae.